This 504-nucleotide ribosomal RNA is filed under the name uncultured bacterium. RNAcentral's name for it is "bacterial SSU rRNA". It matches the Rfam family "Bacterial small subunit ribosomal RNA", at positions 28 to 521 of the family's 1533-position model. The record is from RNAcentral.
GAUGAACGCUAGCUACAGGCUUAACACAUGCAAGUCGAGGGGCAGCAUGAACUUAGCUUGCUAAGUUUGAUGGCGACCGGCGCACGGGUGAGUAACACGUAUCCAACCUUCCGUUUACUCAGGGAUAGCCUUUCGAAAGAAAGAUUAAUACCUGAUAGUAUGGUGAGAUUGCAUGAUAACACCAUUAAAGAUUUAUUGGUAAACGAUGGGGAUGCGUUCCAUUAGGUAGUAGGCGGGGUAACGGCCCACCUAGCCUGCGAUGGAUAGGGGUUCUGAGAGGAAGGUCCCCCACAUUGGAACUGAGACACGGUCCAAACUCCUACGGGAGGCAGCAGUGAGGAAUAUUGGUCAAUGGGCGAGAGCCUGAACCAGCCAAGUAGCGUGAAGGAUGACUGCCCUAUGGGUUGUAAACUUCUUUUAUAAAGGAAUAAAGUCGGGUAUGGAUACCCGUUUGCAUGUACUUUAUGAAUAAGGAUCGGCUAACUCCGUGCCAGCGGCCGCGGU